This 393-nucleotide unclassified non-coding RNA is filed under the name fungal sp. Its description in RNAcentral is "partial internal transcribed spacer region". The stretch from base 1 to 46 matches the Rfam family "Eukaryotic small subunit ribosomal RNA", at positions 1786 to 1831 of the family's 1831-position model. Lineage: Eukaryota; Fungi. The record is from RNAcentral.
AAGUCGUAACAAGGUUUCCGUAGGUGAACCUGCGGAAGGAUCAUCAACAAAUCCCUCUAAAUACUCAAAACACACCUUUGUGCUCAAAACCCCCUAUAAAUCUAUGCUCUUCUCCGGUCACUUGCUGAUCAAGUGUAUGGUUUGAAUGAGAUCGUCAUUGGUUGUACGAUCCUUCCAUGCAUGAGUUGAGUGUAGGUUUUUUUUUCCCUUACAACCAAAAAAACAACAACAUAAACUCCAAAAAAACACAAUCUUUAUCUAUCUGUUUCUGUUUUUUGUUUUCUUUUCUUUUCAUCUUGUAUGCACACUCGUGUGUAUAUAAUGUGAAAAAAAAGGAAAUAAAAAUAUAAAAAAACUUGAAAACAACUUUUAACAAUGGAUCUCUUGGUUCUC